CCCGGCGUUGAAACGCCGGGCUAUUGUCGGCGGUCCCUCCGGGACC
This 46-nucleotide small RNA is filed under the name Candidatus Sulfotelmatobacter kueseliae. Its description in RNAcentral is "Acido-Lenti-1". It matches the Rfam family "Acido-Lenti-1 RNA". The record is from RNAcentral. Lineage: Bacteria; Pseudomonadati; Acidobacteriota; Terriglobia; Terriglobales; Candidatus Korobacteraceae.